CAGAUCUUCUCGGCUUAGCGGCUGAAGACUGACGCUGCCCGAUCGCCUCAGAAGCCCCCUAGACCAUCACCGACGCUGAGCUUCGGGUAACUCUCACAGUGGAAGAUGAAGAAACUGGGGCUCUGAAUGGCAUAUUAACGCGUGCAGCUCCAGACAGCGAGGAAGUGAUGGCAACUCUAUCCGAACUCAAAUCUGCCAGACCUAUACCAGUAGGUGCCUGUGUGCAGUUGGGGACUCACCUCUGCCAGUGCUGGCAUGAGCUAGCUGUCUUGAACUGAAAACAGACACUCAAAGAUGGGCUGUGGGAUCCCAGAGAGGUGGCAGAAUGGUCAAAGCUAUGAAGCCAACAGCUGCUGCCAACAAGAAAGUCCUGAGCCCUGAGUGAUUGUAAUUUAAACUUAAUGCUGGGAGUGGGUGUUUAUUUUGGAGGAGUGGGCUGCUUAUUUUUGGUUUGGGGACUUGUUCAUUCAUCUUUUCUCAGCGGCGCCUACUGCUGCCCUGGCCCGAAGUUAAAGCUCAAUAAAUCACUGUUGCACAACUGA
This 542-nucleotide long non-coding RNA is filed under the name Homo sapiens (human). RNAcentral describes it as "long intergenic non-protein coding RNA 3141". The record is from RNAcentral. Lineage: Eukaryota; Metazoa; Chordata; Mammalia; Primates; Hominidae.